CCCAGCCCCGCGGCGUCCUCACGCGAUGCCCGACCUGUUGCCCUAGCUCCGGUGGCCACACUGCCGCCGCCGCCGCCGAUUUAUGCUGGUAGGUCGCGGACGACCGAGGCGCCGAGGCAGAGUUCCAGGCCUGCAAUCCUCCUACCCACGACGCCUGCGUCGGCGACGCCCAACACCGCCAACCUGUUCGUCCUCGAGAGAAUAUGGUCCGCGCAGCCGGCAGCGUCGCCUCUAAGUAGUGGAUCCUCUCACCUCCAAACGUCCAAGGAGAUGAUGUGGGGCCAUGUGUCUUGGUAUUUUUUUUCCUUCAAUAAUUGCAUCGGUGCAUGUGAUUCCUCCAUGGAGUCUUAACCUGUUCUUGUGAUGAAGGAUUGGGAUGACUGAGCUGUCAUCGUGAUGCAACGGAGGGUUAAGACAAGUGACGACGAGGGAAGGCGGAGGCUUGAUAUAGAUGCUACAGCUGUUGUGGCGGUGGUAGAAGCUUGCAAUUUGGAUGGUAGAAUUAUGUUAUGUUUACAAGGCCAGGUUAAUAAAAUAGAGAAUGCACUUGGAGAGAUGGCUUGUGUUGAUUCUCACCAAAUUACUUACUAUUUCGUUCAGCAGUAUAGACUGAACUGGGAGAAAGAAGCAACUAAUAAUUUCAUUGAGAAGGCAUAUGUGAAGCUGUAGUAUAUGAGCUAAUGUUUAGGUACAUUAUUUCUCCAACCAUUCAAACUUCGAACUGUAUAUCAUUGUUGUAAAUCAAGUGGAAUAUAUGUGUUGCCAUAGCUAUUCUAUUCUGAGUUCAAGCUUUGAAUAUACAAUUUUCGCUCGGUA
This is a long non-coding RNA of Triticum aestivum (bread wheat), 816 nucleotides long. RefSeq lists it as uncharacterized. The transcript is spliced from 3 exons. Lineage: Eukaryota; Viridiplantae; Streptophyta; Magnoliopsida; Poales; Poaceae. The record is from RefSeq and is a predicted model, not a curated record.